Molecule: long non-coding RNA, 1156 nt
Organism: Carya illinoinensis
Lineage: Eukaryota; Viridiplantae; Streptophyta; Magnoliopsida; Fagales; Juglandaceae
Exons: 2
Source: RefSeq, a predicted model, not a curated record
CCUGCAGCAAAAUUGUUUAUUUUUCUAUAGUGUGUAAUGUGAUUCAUAAAAUUUAAAUGUAGAUGAUUAGCGUGUCUAUUUAUUAUUUGUCGCCUUUGAGUGAGCGAGAACGGCGUAACCGUCCAGAAGAGACUCUCGUAUGUAAAACCAAAAAUGGAAUCUAACAGAAAAGUAAAAGCAAAAAGCACGAUCAAUUUGAAUCUCACGCGAUUUUGGUCAUAACUACCCCAAGCAUCUACUUUUAAUUCAUAUACUACAUGUGCAUUGUAGCUCAAAAUCUGUUUUACUGUGCUGUUCAAGCGGAGGCACCCUCGAGUUGGAAUUUUUACUCAAUACCCAUUCUUUCCAGCUAAAACCCACCAAUUCUGCAAGUGAGCAGCCAAUAUUUUAACACACUGUGCAUCUCAACAAAUAACAAAAGCCAUCAACAACGACAGCUCUUCUGAAAGCCCUAGCAGAAACCAUCAACGUGAUUCAUUUUCAUGGCAUCCCAUUCCCACGUCUGCAGUCUGAAAGAUGUUCCGAAAGCCCUAGUAUCUCGCUUUGUCUGAGAUAGCCUCUACUCUGCUGCUCUUCUCGACGGCAAUGGGAAAGGAUCUGGCCUUCCCACUGAGAUCUGGUCUUCCUCAAGCGUGGAGUUUGAUCUAUUAACGGGAAUUUUAGAUUCAGAGGCGAGAGAACUGGGGACAAGUUCUUGACUUCUCUUCAAGCAGAUGCUAUCACUGUUAUAGAAUUUUCAUUGACCAAAAUCUUAUCUCCUGAAGUGCAAAGAAGCAGAAUGUGAUGUCUAGGUCCAGUACCGAAGUGGAGUAUCGGCCUAUGGCACUGGCUAUAGCAGAGUUGUACUGGAUACAUAUGUUAUUUUCGUGAUAUGGGGAGUGUUAGUGAAUCUAUUUCUCCACGUGCUGCAUGAUCUUUUCAACCACUAUUUUCAGAAUAUCUUGCUGCAGAUCAACUCACUCAACAGCCACCUAAGAACUCUUCUAUGGUUACUCAACAGCUAGCAUAGUUAUUUUAAAUUUUGUAAAAUCUGUACUAAAAGUGUACCUUAGCUUUGAAAGUGUAUAGUCAAAGUUAGCUCCUUGUUUUACUCUGAUUUGUAUAUUGUGUAUCUAUUUAUUCUGAUCAAUGCACAGAUCAAGUCAUGUUGGUCAAA